GAAGGCGAUCUGAUACCGCCCUAAUUCUGACCGUAAACGAUGCCACCUGACUAUCUGCCGAAGUUACUACCAUGACUCCCCGGGAAACCCCCGGGAAACCCUUCCCUGCGGGUUCCGGGGGAAGUAUGGAUGCUAAGCUGAAACUUAAAGGAAUUGACCGAAGGGCUCCACCAGGAGUGGAGCCUAUGGCUUAAUUUGGCUCGACACGGGGAACCUCACCCGGCCCCAACACCGGAAGGAUUGACAGAUUGAGAACUCUUUCUCGAUUCGUUGGGUGGUGGUGCAUGGCCGUUCUUAGUUGGCGAAGCGAUUUGUCUGGUUAAUUCCGAUGACCAACUAAACUCUUUGGUUAAGUAGUCCCUCCGGUUUUUGAUCUUUGCCUUUUUUCCUCCCCCCAACUUUCCCUU
RNAcentral lists this ribosomal RNA (407 nucleotides) under Opisthopatus cinctipes. RNAcentral describes it as "bacterial SSU rRNA". It matches the Rfam family "Eukaryotic small subunit ribosomal RNA", at positions 1000 to 1402 of the family's 1831-position model. The record is from RNAcentral. Lineage: Eukaryota; Metazoa; Onychophora; Udeonychophora; Euonychophora; Peripatopsidae.